Drosophila mojavensis is the source of this 1574-nucleotide long non-coding RNA. RefSeq lists it as uncharacterized. The record is from RefSeq and is a predicted model, not a curated record. The transcript has 2 exons. NCBI's taxonomy places the organism in Eukaryota, Metazoa, Arthropoda, Insecta, Diptera, Drosophilidae.
UGCGCGUCAAUUUAUCUUUGAGUAGGGUUGCUUACUUUAUCAUUAUCGAGUUUUAGUAUUUUGUACAAUUUUAUCGUUAUCGAAUUUUAAACAUUUUGUGUAUUUUCAGCUUUGUUCUUAUUUGGUGGUUGGAUUCGUUUGGUAAGUAGUUUCAAUUUAUUAGGAUUCAGGAAUUAAUUAUUGUUUGGUGAGUACUGUGUUAUAGUUUAAAGUUGUUUAUAUUGUUUCAAUGUAAUUUGUUUCAUUGCAGGUGGCACCAGAGAGGACAGCCAAGUUGAUGAUGGAUGGGUAAGUAUGUGCUUAUAUAUGUAGCAAAAGGACUGGCUUUAUUAUUAUAAAUCUUUUUAUUUCCAGAUAAGACGUGGAAAGUUACCAAGUCUGAUUUUAUAGUAUAUAAAUAGGUUAUUUGUUAUUCUUAGGUUAUUGUUUUGUUUGUAGAAUUGUCAUUAGUUUAUUGUUUUGCUUGUUUCCCUUAGUCUGAGUUAUUGUUUGUUUAGACUUUGUUUCAUUUAGUGAAUUUUAGUCUUUUAGGAAUAUUUGUCUUGUUAUUUAGUGUAGUAGUUUAAGUUUAAGAUUGCAUUUGCCUGGGGUAAUUUGAGUUUUAAUAUAUGGCGCAGAGUAUUUGUUUCCUUUGUGGCUAUCGAAUUUUGACAAAUAGCGUACUUUAGGAUGUGUUCGUACUAGGUGUUUAUGUUUGGAUUAUAUUAAGUUUAUUUAUUAUACGCAGGUAGCUAAGUUGUUAUUUAAUAGGUCUUUUAUAAUUUAUAUAUUUUUAUUUUUAUUUUAUUUUAUUUGUUUAUUUAUUUUAUUUAUUUAUUCUUAUUUUUUGUGAGCAAUACGUGCGAGGGUGGGUAUCAAAGUUGCUUCCUUUUGUUUCUUGUUGAAGAUUACUGCUUUGUCAGCUUCUUUUCCUUGCUUAGACUUGUCUUGUCUUCAGUAUUAGCGUUUGAUUUAGUGUUUGGUUGUUAUGUGCUAUAUAUAUUUAUUGUUUGAUUUUUAUUUUUAUUUUUUUAUCUGAUUGUUGUUUUAUUAGUUAUAUUAUUAUUAUUAGUUAGUUAUAGUGUAAUUACUAGUUAGUUGUAUUGUAUUAUAUUAUUAGAUAUUUAGAAUUGCAUUAAUAUGUUGGGGAUGUCAAAUAGUUUACCAGUUUUUAUCGUUUAGGAGGCUUGUAGUUUGUAUUUGUGAGGAAUAUUGUAUAAUAUUGUUAUUAUUAGUUAGUUAUAGUGAAAUUAUGUUAUUCUAGUUAUUUUUUUUAUUUUUGUUUAUUUAUUUAUUUUUAUUUUUUUUUUUUUUUGUUUUAGUUUAGGUUUUGCAGCGAGCAGCUUGUUGAUUUUUAGGUUUUGCCGCAAGCAGCUUGUUGAUUGUAAGUAUUAAUUUGUCUAUUUUGUAUCUUUAAUUCAGCAGUAAAAUUUUAAUGAGUUGUAUCUUUCAGAUAGCGCUUGAAGAUGCCACUGUCUAGUACUUGUAUUAAGUGUUCUUGUUUGAUUAAUGAGAGUAUAAACUUUUUUCAGCCUGCAUGCGAGGGAAUCACAUACACAAUUGCCCUGCUUUUUCUCGCCUCAAGCUUUAGGCUG